Cryptosporidium muris RN66 is the source of this 45-nucleotide non-coding RNA. NCBI's taxonomy places the organism in Eukaryota, Apicomplexa, Conoidasida, Eucoccidiorida, Cryptosporidiidae. The record is from Rfam.
AAAGAGGUUUUUUUUAAAACCGCCUACUCAAAAUAUUAAAAAAAA